GGAUGAGCCCGCGGCCUAUCAGCUAGUCGGUGGGGUAACGGCCUACCGAGGCGAUGACGGGUAGCUGGUCUGAGAGGACGGCCAGCCACACGGGGACUGAGACACGGCCCCGACUCCUACGGGAGGCAGCAGUGAGGAAUCUUCCGCAAUGGGCGAAAGCCUGACGGAGCGACACCGCGUGUGGGAUGAAGUCUUUCGGGAUGUAAACCACUGUCGGAGGGGAAGACAAAAAAGACGGUACCCUCCAAGAAAGCCCCGGCUAACUACGUGCCAGCAGCCGCGGCCG
Molecule: ribosomal RNA, 286 nt
Filed under: uncultured Actinomycetales bacterium
Lineage: Bacteria; Bacillati; Actinomycetota; Actinomycetes; Actinomycetales
Description: partial 16S ribosomal RNA
Rfam family: Bacterial small subunit ribosomal RNA
Source: RNAcentral